GCAAUCAGCUGAAGCCGAAAGGGACAACAACAACUUCAAAGCAACAUAUCUCUGCAUUUUGAAAUCACCGAUCAUCACUGUGGAUUCGUGUUUAUCUGCCAGCUUCACGUUUGUAUCUUCUUCGUAGUGCCGCGUUCGGAAUCAAGGCGUUUCAACAUACCUCACGGCGAAGCAACGCUGGAUGAACACAACAAAUUCAAGACCUAAAUGCGAGUUCAACCUUCAACUGUGAAAUCAUCCUCCAAUCAUGACAAUUCAAACGCACAUAAACUUGAGAUGAAAACAGAAAAAAGACGACGAAUACUCACCGGAUCGAAACAGAAUGAAUGACUGGUCAGUAAUGCAUUAUAUUACACUAUGAAGUGAUGAUAACAAGGCUGCAACAUAAAUAUCUUCUUACUUGGACGGGUUGCAAGUUGAUGUCUACGACAUGUGGCAUCUGGUGCAAUGUUGGUGUCUACUGCAGGGGAGCUUGUUUUGCUAGGUCUAUGUUCCUUAAUCAAGUAUGCCAUGAAGUUGGACAAAAGUCCAUGGCAUCAAAGUUAGAAUUUGAAGUAUCCGUCUACAAAUGGUCAACCAAAGAUCAAGAAUCAAGGAUUGAAGAUUGGAUUAGAAUUAGGAUGGAAAAAGGGAUUGGGUUGACUUUGAUCAAAUUUGACCAAAAAGUCAACUGUUGACAAAAGUCAACAUUUUGUCAACACAUUUUUUUGGUAUUUUUCUCAUGUAAUGAAAAUUUAUAAUUGAUUAUAAUGAUGGAAUUUACAUUUGAAUAAAAUUGGAUUGAUAUUUGAA
Lathyrus oleraceus (garden pea) is the source of this 792-nucleotide long non-coding RNA. RefSeq lists it as uncharacterized. The transcript has 3 exons. The record is from RefSeq and is a predicted model, not a curated record. NCBI's taxonomy places the organism in Eukaryota, Viridiplantae, Streptophyta, Magnoliopsida, Fabales, Fabaceae.